RNAcentral lists this transfer RNA (73 nucleotides) under Auricularia auricula-judae (jelly ear fungus). Its description in RNAcentral is "tRNA-Arg". It matches the Rfam family "tRNA". Rfam says of the family: Transfer RNA (tRNA) molecules are approximately 80 nucleotides in length. Their secondary structure includes four short double-helical elements and three loops (D, anti-codon, and T loops). Further hydrogen bonds mediate the characteristic L-shaped molecular structure. tRNAs have two regions of fundamental functional importance: the anti-codon, which is responsible for specific mRNA codon recognition, and the 3' end, to which the tRNAs corresponding amino acid is attached (by aminoacyl-tRNA synthetases). tRNAs cope with the degeneracy of the genetic code in two manners: having more than one tRNA (with a specific anti-codon) for a particular amino acid; and 'wobble' base-pairing, i.e. permitting non-standard base-pairing at the 3rd anti-codon position. Lineage: Eukaryota; Fungi; Basidiomycota; Agaricomycetes; Auriculariales; Auriculariaceae. RNAcentral also lists the same sequence under 1 other name. The record is from RNAcentral.
GCGUCUUUAGCAUAAUGGUGAAUGCCUCCGCCUUCGAAGCGGUACAAUAUGGGUUCGACUCCUUUAGGACGCU